This 429-nucleotide ribosomal RNA is filed under the name bacterium. Its description in RNAcentral is "partial 16S ribosomal RNA". It matches the Rfam family "Bacterial small subunit ribosomal RNA", at positions 355 to 776 of the family's 1533-position model. The record is from RNAcentral.
UGGGGAAUCUUCCGCAAUGGACGAAAGUCUGACGGAGCAACGCCGCGUGAGUGAUGACGGCCUUCGGGUUGUAAAGCUCUGUUAAUCGGGACGAAUGGUUCUUGUGCAAAUAGUGCGAGGAUUUGACGGUACCGGAAUAGAAAGCCACGGCUAACUACGUGCCAGCAGCCGCGGUAAUACGUAGGUGGCAAGCGUUGUCCGGAAUUAUUGGGCGUAAAGCGCGCGCAGGCGGAUUGGUCAGUCUGGCUUAAAAGUUCGGGGCUUAACCCCGUGAUGGGAUGGAAACUGCCAAUCUAGAGUAUCGGAGAGGAAAGUGGAAUUCCUAGUGUAGCGGUGAAAUGCGUAGAUAUUAGGAAGAACACCAGUGGCGAAGGCGACUUUCUGGACGAAAACUGACGCUGAGGCGCGAAAGCCAGGGGAGCGAACGGG